This 253-nucleotide ribosomal RNA is filed under the name uncultured bacterium. Its description in RNAcentral is "partial 16S ribosomal RNA". It matches the Rfam family "Bacterial small subunit ribosomal RNA", at positions 524 to 776 of the family's 1533-position model. The record is from RNAcentral.
UACGUAGGGUGCGAGCGUUGUCCGGAAUUAUUGGGCGUAAAGCGCUUGUAGGCGGUCUGUCGCGUCUGCUGUGAAAAUCCGGGGCUCAACCCCGGACUUGCAGUGGAUACGGACAGACUAGAGGUAGGUAGGGGAGAAUGGAAUUCCCGGUGUAGCGGUGAAAUGCGCAGAUAUCGGGAGGAACACCGGUGGCGAAGGCGGUUCUCUGGGCCUUACCUGACGCUGAGGAGCGAAAGCGUGGGGAGCGAACAGG